GGGCUCGUGAUGUAGCUUGGAAACAUGCUGGGCUUCGAACCCAGAUCCGGGGGUUCAAAUCCCCCCGAGCCCGCCA
This 76-nucleotide transfer RNA is filed under the name Marine Group III euryarchaeote CG-Epi1. Its description in RNAcentral is "tRNA-Arg". It matches the Rfam family "tRNA". From Rfam's summary of the family: Transfer RNA (tRNA) molecules are approximately 80 nucleotides in length. Lineage: Archaea; Methanobacteriati; Thermoplasmatota; Thermoplasmata; Candidatus Thermoprofundales. The record is from RNAcentral. RNAcentral also lists the same sequence under 8 other names.